AAAUUGUAGAUUACAAUAAAAUCUAGUUUCGACCUAGAUAAGGCAUAAUAGCAUAAUCUA
This 60-nucleotide transfer RNA is filed under the name Menacanthus cornutus. RNAcentral describes it as "tRNA-Arg". The record is from RNAcentral. Lineage: Eukaryota; Metazoa; Arthropoda; Insecta; Psocodea; Menoponidae.